Molecule: ribosomal RNA, 656 nt
Filed under: uncultured bacterium
Lineage: Bacteria
Description: bacterial SSU rRNA
Rfam family: Bacterial small subunit ribosomal RNA
Source: RNAcentral
GAAACAGGUGCUAAUACCGUAUGACACUAUUUUCCGCAUGGAAGAAAGUUGAAAGGCGCUUUUGCGUCACUGAUGGAUGGACCCGCGGUGCAUUAGCUAGUUGGUGAGGUAACGGCUCACCAAGGCCACGAUGCAUAGCCGACCUGAGAGGGUGAUCGGCCACACUGGGACUGAGACACGGCCCAGACUCCUACGGGAGGCAGCAGUAGGGAAUCUUCGGCAAUGGACGAAAGUCUGACCGAGCAACGCCGCGUGAGUGAAGAAGGUUUUCGGAUCGUAAAACUCUGUUGUUAGAGAAGAACAAGGAUGAGAGUAGAACGUUCAUCCCUUGACGGUAUCUAACCAGAAAGCCACGGCUAACCACGUGCCAGCAGCCGCGGUAAUACGUAGGUGGCAAGCGUUGUCCGGAUUUAUUGGGCGUAAAGCGAGCGCAGGCGGUUUCUUAAGUCUGAUGUGAAAGCCCCCGGCUCAACCGGGGAGGGUCAUUGGAAACUGGGAGACUUGAGUGCAGAAGAGGAGAGUGGAAUUCCAUGUGUAGCGGUGAAAUGCGUAGAUAUAUGGAGGAACACCAGUGGCGAAGGCGGCUCUCUGGUCUGUAACUGACGCUGAGGCUCGAAAGCGUGGGGAGCGAACAGGAUUAGAUACCCUGGUAGUCC